UUUGUCCUACGGGGGGCAGCAGUGGGGAAUAUUGCACAAUGGGGGGAACCCUGAUGCAGCGACGCCGCGUGGUUGAGGAAGUACUUCGGUAUGUAAAGCCCUAUCAGCAGGGAAGAAAAUGACGGUACCUGACUAAGAAGCCCCGGCUAACUACGUGCAAGCAGCCGCGGUAAUACGUAGGGGGCAAGCGUUAUCCGGAUUUACUGGGUGUAAAGGGUGCGUAGGUGGCGGGGCAAGUCAGAUGUGAAAGCCCGGGGCUAAACCCGG
This 267-nucleotide ribosomal RNA is filed under the name uncultured bacterium. Its description in RNAcentral is "partial 16S ribosomal RNA". It matches the Rfam family "Bacterial small subunit ribosomal RNA", at positions 333 to 617 of the family's 1533-position model. The record is from RNAcentral.